This 77-nucleotide transfer RNA is filed under the name Clostridiales bacterium. RNAcentral describes it as "tRNA-Pro". It matches the Rfam family "tRNA". Rfam says of the family: Transfer RNA (tRNA) molecules are approximately 80 nucleotides in length. Their secondary structure includes four short double-helical elements and three loops (D, anti-codon, and T loops). Further hydrogen bonds mediate the characteristic L-shaped molecular structure. tRNAs have two regions of fundamental functional importance: the anti-codon, which is responsible for specific mRNA codon recognition, and the 3' end, to which the tRNAs corresponding amino acid is attached (by aminoacyl-tRNA synthetases). tRNAs cope with the degeneracy of the genetic code in two manners: having more than one tRNA (with a specific anti-codon) for a particular amino acid; and 'wobble' base-pairing, i.e. permitting non-standard base-pairing at the 3rd anti-codon position. The record is from RNAcentral. RNAcentral also lists the same sequence under 1 other name. Lineage: Bacteria; Bacillati; Bacillota; Clostridia; Eubacteriales.
CGGGGCAUAGCGCAGUUUGGUAGCGUGCUUGGUUCGGGACCAAGAGGCCGCAGGUUCAAAUCCUGUUGCCCCGACCA